Labrus mixtus (cuckoo wrasse) is the source of this 268-nucleotide long non-coding RNA. RefSeq lists it as uncharacterized. The record is from RefSeq and is a predicted model, not a curated record. The transcript is spliced from 2 exons. NCBI's taxonomy places the organism in Eukaryota, Metazoa, Chordata, Actinopteri, Labriformes, Labridae.
AAAAAAACAGCUAACAAACUUAAUAUUUGACGUUACAGUUUGUGUUUUACUCAACUUAAUCCUUAUGAUUCAUGACUCAUCUGUUUUUAACAAUCUUUUUCUGUCAAUUGUAAAGCAAAACAAGCGAAGGCUUGGUAUAGAAGAUGAUAUCUGGUUAACAUGACGAUCAGAAGUAAAACCCCUUUCACUAACCUACUGUAGCAUAAUCUUUCUUUCUAUAAGAAAUUGCAUUAUGUGUAUUAUAUCUUUUUUUUACGUUGUCAGAUGA